Long non-coding RNA from Hyla sarda, 452 nucleotides. RefSeq lists it as uncharacterized. NCBI's taxonomy places the organism in Eukaryota, Metazoa, Chordata, Amphibia, Anura, Hylidae. The transcript has 3 exons. The record is from RefSeq and is a predicted model, not a curated record.
CUCCCAUUGUAUGUGUGUGUUUGUAGCCACACUGGAGGUAACCUGGGAGGAGGCUGUGAGUCGGCCUAAUGCUGCUGUAAUUGCCCACUGGCCCCUGGUUUUUGCUUAUCACGCACAGCUGCUGAGACAACAAUGAGCUGUAAUGAUCGGAAUAAAUGUGGAUUUAAAGAUGCAAAAAGAAAGGAUCAAGGGUUUCCAGCCAGCAAGUUCUGAGCCAGCACAAGGACUGAUCACCAGCAGAGAUUAUGAGACUAUUGACCACGCCGUAGGGACGAGGCAGCUACAUCCAUAACAGUAAUGAAUCACAGGUAACACUCUCCAUGGGGAAUGGAUUAACAGCCAAGCAUCAUCCAUAGAUGAAUGUGCACAGUGAACUUCUUUUAGGAUUAUAUAGUCUUGCAUCUACUUUAACCCUUUAACGUCCAAUGACAAUUGGCUAAAUGUUAUUUUUG